CCUACGGGAGGCAGCAGUGGGGAAUAUUGGACAAUGGGGGGAACCCUGAUCCAGCCAUGCCGCGUGUGUGAAGAAGGCCCUCGGGUUGUAAAGCACUUUCAGUGAGGAAGAACGCCUGGUGGUUAAUACCCAUCAGGAAAGACAUCACUCACAGAAGAAGCACCGGCUAACUCCGUGCCAGCAGCCGCGGUAAUACGGAGGGUGCGAGCGUUAAUCGGAAUUACUGGGCGUAAAGCGCGCGUAGGUGGCUUGAUAAGCCGGUUGUGAAAGCCCCGGGCUCAACCUGGGAACGGCAUCCGGAACUGUCAAGCUAGAGUGCAGGAGAGGAAGGUAGAGUUCCCGGUGUAGCGGUGAAAUGCGUAGAGAUCGGGAGGAAUACCAGUGGCGAAGGCGGCCUUCUGGACUGACACUGACACUGAGGUGCGAAAGCGUGGGUAGCAAACAGGAUUAGAUACCCCAGUAGUC
RNAcentral lists this ribosomal RNA (465 nucleotides) under Vreelandella stevensii. RNAcentral's name for it is "partial 16S ribosomal RNA". It matches the Rfam family "Bacterial small subunit ribosomal RNA", at positions 338 to 795 of the family's 1533-position model. Lineage: Bacteria; Pseudomonadati; Pseudomonadota; Gammaproteobacteria; Oceanospirillales; Halomonadaceae. The record is from RNAcentral.